Lonchura striata (white-rumped munia) is the source of this 355-nucleotide non-coding RNA. The record is from RefSeq and is a predicted model, not a curated record. Lineage: Eukaryota; Metazoa; Chordata; Aves; Passeriformes; Estrildidae.
UUCUCGGGCAGUAGAAGAAGGAUGCACGGAGUUCAUGGACGUGACCAUCCUGGUGUGCAGCGCAGCGGCUGUGUCGGCCCUCCCGCUCCUCGCCAUUGGCCUCUGCUAUUUGUCUUUUACACGUCACACGACUCAGGGCUGGAGCAAGGACUGUGAUGACUGUUGGAUGGACAAAGCCAGGUCCUUUGAAAUGUCUCAGCCAGGCACCAGGGACACCAUUCCCAGCUGAGAUCCAUGUGGGUGCCUCUCACUUGGCUAAGCCAGUCCAAGCCUUCCCCCAGGUUUAGGGGGUUCAGGGGUCUCAGUUUGGGUUCCUCUGUGAUCCUCAUAAUAAAUGUUCAUUAAAUUAACCUGA